This 463-nucleotide ribosomal RNA is filed under the name uncultured bacterium. RNAcentral describes it as "partial 16S ribosomal RNA". It matches the Rfam family "Bacterial small subunit ribosomal RNA", at positions 28 to 507 of the family's 1533-position model. The record is from RNAcentral.
GACGAACGCUGGCGGCGUGCUUAACACAUGCAAGUCGAACGGAAAGGCCUUUUCGGAGGUACUCGAGUGGCGAACGGGUGAGUAACACGUGGGUGAUCUGCCCUGCACUCUGGGAUAAGCCUGGGAAACUGGGUCUAAUACCGGAUAGGACCGCACUUUAGUGUGUGUGGUGGCAAGUUUUUUCGGUGUAGGAUGAGCCCGCGGCCUAUCAGCUUGUUGGUGGGGUAAUGGCCUACCAAGGCGGCGACGGGUAGCCGGACUGAGAGGUUGGUCGGCCACAUUGGGACUGAGAUACGGCCCAGACUCCUACGGGAGGCAGCAGUGGGGAAGAUUGCACAAUGGGCGCAAGCCUGAUGCAGCGACGCCGCGUGGGGGAUGACGGCCUUCGGGUUGUAAACUCCUUUCGCCAGGGACGAAGCGUUUUGUGACGGUACCUGGAGAAGAAGCACCGGCUAACUACGUG